GUUUUCUUUCUUGCUUUUGGUUUUGCUUACCGCUAAAGCUAUUGGAGGUGAAUUAGGAAAAGUUGUGCGUACAAUCCCCAAGAAUGAAAAGGAAGUCCUGUAUUUGAACAGCCUCGCUGACAACAACGUAUGUACCUGAUGCACGACGUCCUAGAUACUAUAGAAAUGAAAACAAAACAGAAAAAGGUGUCAAACAAACAAAAAAGAAGCGGAAAGUAAGAAGAGAGAACGAAUUGAGAACAUAACGUGAAACGCGAAGAAAUCGGAGAAGACGGAAGAAGAAAAAACUGAAAAACAAGACAGGACGUCGAUUUGGAUUUCUGGACGCACCCCUCCCAUGUGGGUCAACCUGUUGACAUCCGUGUGACCAAUGACAAAUAUGACACGCUGACCCUGUUACUGAAGGCUCAAGAUCUGUCAUUCAAAGAUCAGAUCUCUGAUGUUGAUGAAGCUGUUGCUAUGCAAACUCCUGUCGGCGAGGCUAGGUCGUUUGACUAUAAUAACUAUAACAGGCUGCCU
Exaiptasia diaphana is the source of this 519-nucleotide long non-coding RNA. RefSeq lists it as uncharacterized. NCBI's taxonomy places the organism in Eukaryota, Metazoa, Cnidaria, Anthozoa, Actiniaria, Aiptasiidae. The record is from RefSeq and is a predicted model, not a curated record. The transcript has 3 exons.